UUUGAUCCUGGCUCAGGACGAACGCUGGCGGCGUGCUUAACACAUGCAAGUCGAACGAUGAACCACUUCGGUGGGGAUUAGUGGCGAACGGGUGAGUAACACGUGGGCAAUCUGCCCUGCACUCUGGGACAAGCCCUGGAAACGGGGUCUAAUACCGGAUACGAGUCACCAGGGCAUCCUGGUGUCUGGAAAGCUCCGGCGGUGCAGGAUGAGCCCGCGGCCUAUCAGCUUGUUGGUGAGGUAACGGCUCACCAAGGCGACGACGGGUAGCCGGCCUGAGAGGGCGACCGGCCACACUGGGACUGAGACACGGCCCAGACUCCUACGGGAGGCAGCAGUGGGGAAUAUUGCACAAUGGGCGCAAGCCUGAUGCAGCGACGCCGCGUGAGGGAUGACGGCCUUCGGGUUGUAAACCUCUUUCAGCAGGGAAGAAGCGAAAGUGACGGUACCUGCAGAAGAAGC
RNAcentral lists this ribosomal RNA (462 nucleotides) under Streptomyces sp. BCRU-MM40. RNAcentral describes it as "bacterial SSU rRNA". It matches the Rfam family "Bacterial small subunit ribosomal RNA", at positions 12 to 491 of the family's 1533-position model. The record is from RNAcentral. Lineage: Bacteria; Bacillati; Actinomycetota; Actinomycetes; Kitasatosporales; Streptomycetaceae.